RNAcentral lists this ribosomal RNA (814 nucleotides) under uncultured beta proteobacterium. Its description in RNAcentral is "bacterial SSU rRNA". It matches the Rfam family "Bacterial small subunit ribosomal RNA", at positions 74 to 883 of the family's 1533-position model. The record is from RNAcentral. Lineage: Bacteria; Pseudomonadati; Pseudomonadota; Betaproteobacteria.
CGGGGGCAACCCUGGCGGCGAGCGGCGAACGGGUGAGGAAUACAUCGGAACGUACCCCGGAGUGGGGGAUAACUCGGCGAAAGCCGUGCUAAUACCGCAUAUGCUCUGAGGAGGAAAGUGGGGGAUUCGCAAGAACCUCACGCUCUGGGAGCGGCCGAUGUCCGAUUAGCUUGUUGGUGGGGUAAUGGCCUACCAAGGCGACGAUCGGUAGCUGGUCUGAGAGGAUGAUCAGCCACACUGGGACUGAGACACGGCUCAGACUCCUACGGGAGGCAGCAGUGGGGAAUUUUGGACAAUGGGGGCAACCCUGAUCCAGCCAUGCCGCGUGCGGGAAGAAGGCCUUCGGGUUGUAAACCGCUUUUGGCCGGGAAGAAAAGGCGCCACCUAAUACGGGGCGUUCUUGACGGUACCGGCAGAAUAAGCACCGGCUAACUACGUGCCAGCAGCCGCGGUAAUACGUAGGGUGCGAGCGUUAAUCGGAAUUACUGGGCGUAAAGCGUGCGCAGGCGGUUUGUUAAGUCUGAUGUGAAAGCCCCGGGCUCAACCUGGGAAUGGCAUUGGAAACUGGCAAGCUCGAGUUUGGCAGAGGGGGGUGGAAUUCCGCGUGUAGCAGUGAAAUGCGUAGAGAUGCGGAGGAACACCGAUGGCGAAGGCAGCCCCCUGGGCUAAGACUGACGCUCAGGCACGAAAGCGUGGGGAGCAAACAGGAUUAGAUACCCUGGUAGUCCACGCCCUAAACGAUGCUCACUAGGUGUUGGGGAAGCGAUUCCUUGGUACCGAAGCUAACGCGUGAAGUGAGCCGCCUGGGGAGUAC